Molecule: ribosomal RNA, 253 nt
Filed under: uncultured bacterium
Lineage: Bacteria
Description: partial 16S ribosomal RNA
Rfam family: Bacterial small subunit ribosomal RNA
Source: RNAcentral
UACGUAGGGUGCAAGCGUUAAUCGGAAUUACUGGGCGUAAAGCGUGCGUAGACGGUUACAUAAGUCGGGUGUGAAAGCCCCGGGCUCAACCUGGGAAUUGCAUUCGAGACUGCGUAGCUAGGGUACGGUAGAGGGAAGCGGAAUUUCCGGUGUAGCGGUGAAAUGCGUAGAUAUCGGAAGGAACACCAGUGGCGAAAGCGGCUUCCUGGACCAGUACCGACGUUCAGGCACGAAAGCGUGGGGAGCAAACAGG